Non-coding RNA from Trichodelitschia bisporula, 81 nucleotides. The record is from the annotation of a GenBank genome assembly. NCBI's taxonomy places the organism in Eukaryota, Fungi, Ascomycota, Dothideomycetes, Phaeotrichales, Phaeotrichaceae.
AGUCCAAUGGUCUAGCGGUAUGACGUCUGCUUCACAAGCACAGGGCGCAGAAGGUCCUGGGUUCGACCCCCAGUUGGACUA